Molecule: long non-coding RNA, 763 nt
Organism: Asterias rubens (European starfish)
Lineage: Eukaryota; Metazoa; Echinodermata; Asteroidea; Forcipulatida; Asteriidae
Exons: 3
Source: RefSeq, a predicted model, not a curated record
GCCCGGGUUAUGUUCAAGAUGGCGACUGAAUCCUUAAAAAUAAGGGAAAAGAUGUGGUGUAGCAUCAUCGUCUUCAAUUCUUCUCCGACAUCUUUUUGGAAAGGACAACCUCAAGGAAUGGACUGCUGCAGAUAGCCCACUAUUGAUCCGACAAGGAAUGGAUCGAGGUAGAUGAGUUGUCAUAGUUGGACUGGAUGAAAUACACAAGAUAACUCACUCUUGAUCCCUCAAUGAAUGCAAGGCACAAGAUAACCCACUCUUUGGCAAGUGAUGAGCUACUGGGAGAAAAGCAACUUCACCACUCGUUGAUGUCAAAUGGAUGAAAUGAACAAGUCGAACUACAAGAUGUCUUUCAUGAAGAAGGACUGAGUUAAUAUCAACAGAAUACCAGACCAGUGAUUGACUGCAUGAUGGGACUGUAGGCCCUGUAUGAUGUCACCAGAGACCUGCCUGGUGCGACAUCAAUCUUCAAUAUCAAUCUGAGCAGGUGAGUUUACAAUCUAAUGCAUGCUUUUUAAUACAGUCAAUGUAGAUACACCAGUGAAAAAUAUUAUCAAGAAUUGGAAAGGUCAGAAAAACCUAUUUGGAAGUGGACAGACAAAAUUUGUUUGUACCAAGAAAGUGCUCACAUGAAUGACUGCCUUUUCAUGUGAUGUACAAGUUCAUUACUUCAAAGACCCUAUUACACACCACUUUGGGGGUGUUUUUCAUAAAAUAAUGAGUAGCUGUUGAAACUCAAGUUUUUCAUUCUGCAUAACUUGUG